RNAcentral lists this ribosomal RNA (484 nucleotides) under uncultured bacterium. Its description in RNAcentral is "bacterial SSU rRNA". It matches the Rfam family "Bacterial small subunit ribosomal RNA", at positions 40 to 507 of the family's 1533-position model. The record is from RNAcentral.
CGGCGUGCCUAAUACAUGCAAGUCGAGCGGAACUUAGAAAGCUUGCUUCUAAGUUUAGCGGCGGACGGGUGAGUAACACGUGGGCAACCUGCCUGUAAGACUGGGAUAACUUCGGGAAACCGGAGCUAAUACCGGAUAAUAUAAAAGAUCACAUGGUCUUUUAUUGAAAGAUGGCUUCGGCUAUCACUUAUAGAUGGGCCCGCGGCGCAUUAGCUAGUUGGUGAGGUAAUGGCUCACCAAGGCGACGAUGCGUAGCCGACCUGAGAGGGUGAUCGGCCACACUGGGACUGAGACACGGCCCAGACUCCUACGGGAGGCAGCAGUAGGGAAUCUUCCGCAAUGGACGAAAGUCUGACGGAGCAACGCCGCGUGAGCGAUGAAGGCCUUCGGGUCGUAAAGCUCUGUUGUUAGGGAAGAACAAGUAUCGUUCGAAUAGGGCGGUACCUUGACGGUACCUAACCAGAAAGCCACGGCUAACUACGUG